RNAcentral lists this ribosomal RNA (468 nucleotides) under uncultured bacterium. RNAcentral's name for it is "partial 16S ribosomal RNA". It matches the Rfam family "Bacterial small subunit ribosomal RNA", at positions 28 to 507 of the family's 1533-position model. The record is from RNAcentral.
GACGAACGCUGGCGGCGUGCUUAACACAUGCAAGUCGAACGGAAAGGCCCUGCUUUUGUGGGGUGCUCGAGUGGCGAACGGGUGAGUAACACGUGAGUAACCUGCCCUUGACUUUGGGAUAACUUCAGGAAACUGGGGCUAAUACCGGACAGGAGCUCCUGCUGCAUGGUGGGGGUUGGAAAGUUUCGGCGGUUGGGGCUGGACUCGCGGCUUAUGAGCUUGUUGGUUGGGUAGUGGCUUACCAAGGCUUUGACGGGUAGCCGGCCUGAGAGGGUGACCGGCCACAUUGGGACUGAGGUACGGCCCAGAGUCCUACGGGAGGCAGCAGUGGGAAAUAUUGCACAAUGGGCGGAAGCCUGAUGCAGCAACGCCGCGUGCGGAAUGACGGCCUUCGGGUUGUAAACCGCUUUCGCCUGUGACGAAGCGUGAGUGACGGUAAUGGGUAAAGAAGCACCGGCUAACUACGUG